UGGGGAAUAUUGGACAAUGGGGGGAACCCUGAUCCAGCCAUGCCGCGUGUGUGAAGAAGGCCUUAUGGUUGUAAAGCACUUUAAGCGAGGAGGAGGGUACUGGUAUUAAUACUACCAGGUACUGGACGUUACUCGCAGAAUAAGCACCGGCUAACUCUGUGCCAGCAGCCGCGGUAAUACAGAGGGUGCGAGCGUUAAUCGGAUUUACUGGGCGUAAAGCGUGCGUAGGCGGCUAAUUGAGUCGGAUGUGAAAUCCCCGAGCUUAACUUGGGAAUUGCAGUCGAUACUGGUUAGCUAGAGUGUGGGAGAGGAUGGUAGAAUUCCAGGUGUAGCGGUGAAAUGCGUAGAGAUCUGGAGGAAUACCGAUGGCGAAGGCAGCCAUCUGGCCUAAUACUGACGCUGAGGUACGAAAGCAUGGGGAGCAAACAGG
This 430-nucleotide ribosomal RNA is filed under the name Pseudomonadota bacterium. Its description in RNAcentral is "Proteobacteria bacterium partial 16S ribosomal RNA". It matches the Rfam family "Bacterial small subunit ribosomal RNA", at positions 355 to 776 of the family's 1533-position model. Lineage: Bacteria; Pseudomonadati; Pseudomonadota. The record is from RNAcentral.